This 301-nucleotide ribosomal RNA is filed under the name uncultured bacterium. Its description in RNAcentral is "partial 16S ribosomal RNA". It matches the Rfam family "Bacterial small subunit ribosomal RNA", at positions 509 to 809 of the family's 1533-position model. The record is from RNAcentral.
CAGCCGCCGCGGUAAUACGAAGGGUGCAAGCGUUAAUCGGAAUUACUGGGCGUAAAGCGUGCGUAGGCGGUUUGUUAAGUCUGCUGUGAAAUCCCCUGGCUCAACCUGGGAAUGGCAGUGGAUACUGGCUCGCUAGAGUGUGUCAGAGGAUGGUGGAAUUCCCGGUGUAGCGGUGAAAUGCGUAGAGAUCGGGAGGAACAUCAGUGGCGAAGGCGGCCAUCUGGGACAACACUGACGCUGAGGCACGAAAGCGUGGGGAGCAAACAGGAUUAGAGACCCCUGUAGUCCCUGUCUCUUAUAA